AAAGAGCGCAGGGUGGAUGCCUUGGCACUAAGAGCCGAAGAAAGACGUGAUAAGCUGCGAAAAGCUGCGGGGAGGAGCAAAUAUCCAUUGAGCCGCAGAUAUCUGAAUGGGGAAACCCGGCUGGACGAACUCCAGUCAUCCAUACGCCAAUCCAUAACGUAUGGAAGGGAACCCGGUGAACUGAAACAUCUAAGUAGCCGGAGGAAUAGAAAGAAACAAGUUCUUUCAUUAGAAAGAAAAAUCGAUUUCCAAAGUAGCGGCGAGCGAAAUGGAAAGAGGCCAAACCAUGGUGCGUGCACCGUGGGGUUCGGACCGCAUAAUUGAUUCGUUGAUCCUAGCAGAAAGGUUUUGGGAAAGCCUGCCAGAGAGGGUGAAAGCCCCGUAAGCGAAAGGAAAGACGACAUGGCGGGAUCCAGAGUACAUCGAGACACGAGAAACCUUGAUGGAAUGAGCGGGGACCACCCCGUAAGCCUAAAUACUCCUUAGUGACCGAUAGCGCAUAGUACUGUGAAGGAAAGGUGAAAAGGACCCCGGGAGGGGAGUGAAAGAGAACCUGAAACCCUGUGUUUACAAGCUGUGGAACAUCUUUAUAUGAUGAACCGCGUACUUUUUGUAGAACGGUCCGGCGAGUUACGCGUGCCGGCAAGGUUAAGCACUUAAGGUGUGGAGCCGAAGAGAAAUCGAGUC
This 687-nucleotide ribosomal RNA is filed under the name Roseburia intestinalis. RNAcentral describes it as "partial 23S ribosomal RNA". It matches the Rfam family "Bacterial large subunit ribosomal RNA", at positions 13 to 683 of the family's 2925-position model. The record is from RNAcentral. Lineage: Bacteria; Bacillati; Bacillota; Clostridia; Lachnospirales; Lachnospiraceae.